Molecule: ribosomal RNA, 1143 nt
Filed under: Dolosigranulum pigrum
Lineage: Bacteria; Bacillati; Bacillota; Bacilli; Lactobacillales; Carnobacteriaceae
Description: bacterial LSU rRNA
Rfam family: Bacterial large subunit ribosomal RNA
Source: RNAcentral
AGCCCUGUAGGCGAAAACAACAUGAACCAAUGAGGAUCCUGAGUACGGCGGAACACGAGAAAUUCCGUCGGAAUCAGCCGGGACCAUCCGGCAAGCCUAAAUACUACCUAGUGACCGAUAGUGAACCAGUACCGUGAGGGAAAGGUGAAAAGAACCCCGGAAGGGGAGUGAAAAGCACUUGAAACCGUAUGCUUACAAGUAGUCAGAGCCCGUUAAUGGGUGAUGGCGUACCUUUUGUAGAAUGGACCGGCGAGUGACGAUUUCAUGCAAGGUUAAUCUGAAGAAGAGGAGCCGCAGCGAAAGCGAGUCUGAAUAGGGCGUGCAGUAUGAGGUCGUCGACCCGAAACCAGGUGACCUACCCAUGUGCAGGGUGAAGGUGCGGUGAAACGCACUGGAGGCCCGAACCCACGUAUGUUGAAAAAUGCGGGGAUGACGUGUGGGUAGCGGUGAAAUUCCAAUCGAACCUGGAGAUAGCUGGUUCUCUCCGAAAUAGCUUUAGGGCUAGCCUCGGAUGAUGCAUCGUGGAGGUAGAGCGACUGUUUGGACGAGGGCCCCUUGCGGGGUACCGAAUCCUGAUAAACUCCGAAUGCCACAGAUGUUAAUCCGGGAGUCACACUGCGAGUGAUAAGAUCCGUAGUGGAAAGGGAAACAACCCAGACCGUCGGCUAAGGUCCCCAAAUCCUUGUUAAGUGGAAAAGGAUGUGGGGCUGCUUAGACAACUAGGAUGUUGGCUUAGAAGCAGCCAUCAUUUAAAGAGUGCGUAAUAGCUCACUAGUCGAGUGGCCCUGCGCCGAAAAUUUACCGGGGCUAAACAAGGUACCGAAGCCACGGAUAGAACCUUUGGUUCUAUGGUAGGAGAGCGUUCUAAUCAGCAUAGAAGCCUGACUGUGAAGACAGGUGGAGCGAUUAGAAGUGAGAAUGCCGGUAUGAGUAGCGAAAGACAGGUGAGAAUCCUGUCCACCGAAUGACUAAGGUUUCCUGGGGAAGGCUCGUCCUCCCAGGGUUAGUCGGGACCUAAGCUGAGGCCGAACGGCGUAGGCGAUGGUCAACAGGUUGAUAUUCCUGUACCAGUUUCUUUUGUUUGACCGAUGGAGGGACGCAGCAGGCUAAGAUAUGCCCACUGAUGGAUGUGGGUGCAAAUAA